AGUUCGUUGGAUCAAUUUAAAUGGAUGUCAACGGUUAUGCCAGUACACAUGAACCAUGGCUAUAGUGCUGCCAGGGUUGUCCCAAAAAAGCCAAGUGUUCCAAUUAUCAAUCCAACACAAGAAUGAGGCCAAAUAUGAAGAUAUUCUUGAUAUCAUGGAUUCUUAUGAGAAACUGCUGCAAAAAACAUUUCAGGAAUCCCAUGGUUUGUUGCUGAACAGUUGAAAUGUUAGAUGAAUUUGGAGUUAUUGCAUCUGGUGACUAACUGACCAAAGUCAGAUUUGAAGGCGCCAAAAAACAAGGUCUCAUGUCUCCAACAACAUCGGGAAGACUUGAUCAUUUGAGACCAGUUGUUAUUGAGCUUUGGCAUCUUAAACAAGAUUACUUAGAAAAAACUUUUAAAGCUUUUUACAAGAUGGAUUCAAUGGAUAAAUUAGGUACCUUGGCAUUUUGGUGAAAUAGACUGAAGAAGACUGAUGUUAAUGGCAAAGUCGAGGGUCACUUCAAUUCACACAGCAAAUUUUUCAAACUUAUUGUAAGGGAGCUAAUUCGAGAACAGGCAUUUGAACUCUUUAAUCUUAAUUUUGAAAAUACUACAGGGUAUCCACUAAACAUCAGCAAGGCAAGCAGAUACACCAAAGAAAACAAAACAAUGGAAUUAGCAGGUGAAGUUCUUCAUAAAUUUGAUGUUAUGCGUACAGGAGUACCUUCAGCAAGCAAUGAUGAUUUAUUCAAUUAAAGUACAAAUUUUACAAUUAGGGGAUUACACUACCUACAAAUGGAAGACACUAUAAAAG
Long non-coding RNA from Mytilus trossulus (common blue mussel), 795 nucleotides. RefSeq lists it as uncharacterized. Lineage: Eukaryota; Metazoa; Mollusca; Bivalvia; Mytilida; Mytilidae. The transcript is spliced from 3 exons. The record is from RefSeq and is a predicted model, not a curated record.